Molecule: ribosomal RNA, 687 nt
Filed under: uncultured bacterium
Lineage: Bacteria
Description: bacterial SSU rRNA
Rfam family: Bacterial small subunit ribosomal RNA
Source: RNAcentral
AGCGGCGGACGGGUGCGUAACACGUGGGUAACCUGCCCCUAUCACUGGGAUAACACACUGAAAAGUGUGCUAAUACCAGAUAAUAUAAGCUUUUGGCAUCAUUAGCUUAUCAAAGAAUUUCGGAUAGGGAUGGGCCCGCGUCUGAUUAGCUAGUUGGUGAGGUAACGGCUCACCAAGGCAACGAUCAGUAGCCGACCUGAGAGGGUGAUCGGCCACACUGGAACUGAGACACGGUCCAGACUCCUACGGGAGGCAGCAGUGGGGAAUAUUGCACAAUGGGCGAAAGCCUGAUGCAGCAACGCCGCGUGAGCGAUGAAGGCCUUCGGGUCGUAAAGCUCUGUCCUAUGGGAAGAUAAUGACGGUACCAUAGGAGGAAGCCCCGGCUAACUACGUGCCAGCAGCCGCGGUAAUACGUAGGGGGCAAGCGUUAUCCGGAAUUACUGGGCGUAAAGGGUGCGUAGGCGGUUUAUCAAGUCAGGGGUGAAAGGCUACGGCUCAACCGUAGUGAGCCUCUGAAACUGGUGAACUUGAGUGUAGGAGAGGAAAGUGGAAUUCCCAGUGUAGCGGUGAAAUGCGUAGAUAUUGGGAGGAACACCAGUGGCGAAGGCGACUUUCUGGACUACAACUGACGCUGAGGCACGAAAGCGUGGGGAGCAAACAGGAUUAGAUACCCUGGUAGUCCACGCU